CCAAACACAAAUCCAAAUACCCAAACCCACAAUAAAGGAACUUACCUUCGUCCAGCGAUGCUCGAAUCCGGAACUUGCCAUUUCAGAGCAGUGGAGAGCAAUGGAGACGACGAGACUGUGGAGAAGAGUAGUCCGUGAGCGUUAAUGGAGAAGACGAUAAAUGUGAGAGAGAAACCAAUUCUGAGAGAGAAACCAAUUCUGAGAUAGAACCAAUCCUUCACAUUCAAACUCAAAAUGCCC
RNAcentral lists this long non-coding RNA (240 nucleotides) under Vigna radiata. RNAcentral's name for it is "long non-coding RNA (VRAD_LNC007833)". The record is from RNAcentral. Lineage: Eukaryota; Viridiplantae; Streptophyta; Magnoliopsida; Fabales; Fabaceae.